Molecule: long non-coding RNA, 577 nt
Filed under: Lathyrus oleraceus (garden pea)
Lineage: Eukaryota; Viridiplantae; Streptophyta; Magnoliopsida; Fabales; Fabaceae
Description: Pisum sativum (pea) long non-coding RNA (PSAT_LNC035749)
Source: RNAcentral
AUUAUAAUUAUGCAGCGAAGAUGUUGGAUAAAAAGGUAAAAGUACUGGUAUACACUUUUGAGUUUGUAAUAGGAAUUAAUUGAAAUGUCAACUCUUUAUAUUAAAUAUUAAAAGCGCAACAUUAAGACAUAGAAUUACAGUUAAAUGCAAUAUAAUUAUUAAACACAUGCAAAAGGGACUGAAGUGUGAAUUGUUACUGUGUAUUCCAUAUCUCACAAAAAUUGUAAACACACUUUACAAGUGUAGGAUAAGUCGACUUUGGACAAUCAUGGUCAGAAGUACAAGGAACGCGAGCUGCAUUGUCAAAUAAGAAAAAAUAAAUAUUAUUAAAAGAUGAUGUAAUACUAUAUAUAAGAGAAAUUUGAAAAUGGUGUGAAAGGUGACAUACUUCUACUCGUUACAACAAAAAAUAAAGAAGAAAAGACGAUCAAAGCAUAAUAAAACAUGAUCAUUUGAGUCAUGAUUUUCUCUUUUGUAUGUAAGAAAUAGAAUUAUAUUGAUCCCUUUAUAAAUAAAACUUCCAUACUUUGUUAACUUCAAUUAAAUAGUUUUUAGCAUUUACAAAUUGCAAAAAGUC